Molecule: ribosomal RNA, 386 nt
Filed under: uncultured bacterium
Lineage: Bacteria
Description: bacterial SSU rRNA
Rfam family: Bacterial small subunit ribosomal RNA
Source: RNAcentral
AUUGAACGCUGGCGGCAUGCCUUACACAUGCAAGUCGAACGGCAGCGGACCUUCGGGUGCCGGCGAGUGGCGAACGGGUGAGUAAUAUAUCGGAACGUACCUUUCAGUGGGGGAUAACGUAGCGAAAGUUACGCUAAUACCGCAUAUUCUGUGAGCAGGAAAGCAGGGGAUCGCAAGACCUUGCGCUGAUUGAGCGGCCGAUAUCAGAUUAGCUAGUUGGUGAGGUAAAGGCUCACCAAGGCGACGAUCUGUAGCGGGUCUGAGAGGAUGAUCCGCCACACUGGUAACUGAGACACGGUCCAGACUCCUACGGGAGGCAGCAGUGGGGAAUUUUGGACAAUGGGCGCAAGCCUGAUCCAGCCAUGCCGCGUGAGUGAAGAAGGCCU